This 253-nucleotide ribosomal RNA is filed under the name uncultured bacterium. RNAcentral describes it as "partial 16S ribosomal RNA". It matches the Rfam family "Bacterial small subunit ribosomal RNA", at positions 524 to 776 of the family's 1533-position model. The record is from RNAcentral.
UACGUAGGGUGCGAGCGUUAAUCGGAAUUACUGGGCGUAAAGCGUGCGCAGGCGGUUCGUGAUGUCUGGUGUGAAAGCCCCGGGCUUAACCUGGGAAUGGCAUUUGGGACUGCAAGGCUUGAGUGCGGCAGAGGAGACUGGAAUUCCUGGUGUAGCAGUGAAAUGCGUAGAUAUCAGGAGGAAUACCGAUGGCGAAGGCAGGUCUCUGGGCUGACACUGACGCUCAUGCACGAAAGCGUGGGGAGCAAACAGG